This 46-nucleotide non-coding RNA is filed under the name Schistosoma mansoni. The record is from RNAcentral. Lineage: Eukaryota; Metazoa; Platyhelminthes; Trematoda; Strigeidida; Schistosomatidae.
GCACUGCUGAAGAGUGUCACAAUAGGACGAAACAGCUGUCCAGUGC